GAUGAACGCUGGCGGCGUGCCUAAUACAUGCAAGUCGAGCGAGCAGAUAAGGAGCUUGCUCCUUUGACGUUAGCGGCGGACGGGUGAGUAACACGUGGGUAACCUACCUAUAAGACUGGGAUAACUUCGGGAAACCGGAGCUAAUACCGGAUAAUAUUUCGAACCGCAUGGUUCGAUAGUGAAAGAUGGUUUUGCUAUCACUUAUAGAUGGACCCGCGCCGUAUUAGCUAGUUGGUAAGGUAACGGCUUACCAAGGCGACGAUACGUAGCCGACCUGAGAGGGUGAUCGGCCACACUGGAACUGAGACACGGUCCAGACUCCUACGGGAGGCAGCAGUAGGGAAUCUUCCGCAAUGGGCGAAAGCCUGACGGAGCAACGCCGCGUGAGUGAUGAAGGUCUUCGGAUCGUAAAACUCUGUUAUUAGGGAAGAACAUACGUGUAAGUAACUGUGCACGUCUUGGCGGUACCUAAUCAGAAAGCCACGGCUAACUACGUG
This 497-nucleotide ribosomal RNA is filed under the name uncultured bacterium. RNAcentral describes it as "partial 16S ribosomal RNA". It matches the Rfam family "Bacterial small subunit ribosomal RNA", at positions 28 to 507 of the family's 1533-position model. The record is from RNAcentral.